GGCAUAUAGUUCAGUGGCAAAACACUUACCUAGCAUGCUGGAGGCCCUGGGUUCAAUCCCCAGUACCA
This 68-nucleotide transfer RNA is filed under the name Marmota monax (woodchuck). Its description in RNAcentral is "tRNA.Ala". Lineage: Eukaryota; Metazoa; Chordata; Mammalia; Rodentia; Sciuridae. The record is from RNAcentral.